This is an RNA transcript of Gossypium raimondii (Peruvian cotton), 4146 nucleotides long. It is a transcript of the gene named translocase of chloroplast 120, chloroplastic, with no coding region annotated. The record is from RefSeq and is a predicted model, not a curated record. NCBI's taxonomy places the organism in Eukaryota, Viridiplantae, Streptophyta, Magnoliopsida, Malvales, Malvaceae. The transcript is spliced from 3 exons.
CUCAUCUCAACAGCUUGGUUUGUUUGUAGGGUUGAUUAGAGGAGAGAUGAGUAGGCACAAUCAAAUAUGGUUGAAUCAGGAAAGAUUGGACGGUCCACAAUCUCUGUCCCUCUCGAAUAAGGCUUUUGAAGCAACAAUUGUGAAAAUGGAAAAUGGGGUAGUAAUGGUAGACAACAAGAUUGCGGAAGAAAGAGUUGCCAAUGAGGAAGUGGAGGUGAGGGUUGCUGGGGAUUCCGGUGAAACAAAAGAACCGGUAGAUGAGGUUUUUGGGGAGGCAAUUGCAACACAGGAGAUUUUGCAAGAACAGGCAGAAAAACCUGGAGUGGAUGGCAGCAGUUUAGUUGACGAUGCAAUUGGAAAUGUUGAGACAUUUGGUGAUACUGGUUCAGAGGUAGUUAAGGAGAAUUUGAAUUUAGAACCUAAAGAAGAGACCUUUCAAGAGGCUGUUGAGGUUCUAACUGAGGUUGGAGCUCUGGAGAAUGCGGUUGCAAGUGAGGUAGGAACUCUGGAGGUUGUGGCAGAGUCGGUGGACCAGCAGCAAGGGGAGAGUGUUAGUGGUGGUGUGGUGCUGGAUAAGAUUGACGAGGGAGGGACUGAAAUGGGCGAAAGGACUGAUGAAUUGAAUAGUGGGAAGGAAGUACCUGAAGUCAGUGGUACCAGAGAAACAGAAGUUCCGAGGGACAAGGAAAAAAGAAAUCUCAAGUUUGAUACGGUCAUGGAGAUGCCUGUAAAAGGAGAUACUUAUCAGGGAAAAGAGAGUACGGAAGUAAAAGGUGCCACAGCUGAUCUUGAUUCAGUAGAUGGUGGUGACAAAGAUGAAAAAGCAAAUAAGGCUUUUGCUGCUGCGGAGGAUACCAUGAAUGGAGAAGUAAAAGAUUUAUCUGAUGCUAGGGGUAUGAAGAAUAAUGGUGAGAUUGAUGAACUGAGAGAUAUGCUGUCUGAGCCAAGUAAAUCUGUUGAAGAGACAGUUGCUUCUGCAGUCGGGAACUUAUCCUCUUCAGAAAAGUUCACAGAUGAGAUGAAUGAGAAGAUUGAGGUUGGUAAAGCUGAUUUGAGAACAGAGGUUCAUGAUAGUUUUCAAUCUCGGCUCCCUGAUGAAAUGGUGGGUAAUAAAUGUCAAGAUAUUGAUUUUGUGACUGAACAAUCUGAUGAUAAAACAGAGAAAAAUCAGCAAAAUAAGCAAAGCACCCCAGUGACCCUAGAGCAGGAAGUGCAACAUGCUCCAGGAUCUUCAGUGUCUGCAAAAGCCGAAGAGAUUGGGAAGAAAGCAGACAUAACUCAGGAGCCUAAGACAAACACCUCUGUGACUAAAGAAUGUUUAAGUGUUCCUGCUCCGGCAUUGGCAUCAUCUGUUAAAUCUACAAACCUUGCUACCCCUUCUCAUCCUGCUGGCCUUGGGCGUGCUGCUCCGCUAUUGGAACCUGCCCCCAGGGUGGUGCAGCAGCCUCGUGUGAAUGGAAGUGUCUCUCAAGCACAGGCACAGGCACAUCAAAUUGAAGAUCCUGGUAAUGUGGAGGCUGAGGAGAAUGAUGAGACUCGUGAAAAGCUUCAGUUGAUUAGAGUUAAGUUUUUGCGGCUUGCAAAUAGGCUCGGGCAGACUCCCCAUAAUGUUGUUGUGGCACAGGUUUUGUACAGACUAGGAUUAGCUGAGCAGCUCCGGGGGAGAAAUGGGGGCCGGGUUGGUGCCUUCAGCUUUGACCGUGCAAGUGCUAUGGCUGAACAGCUUGAGGCAGCUGGAAAUGAACCCCUUGAUUUUGCCUGUACAAUUAUGGUCCUUGGGAAGACAGGAGUUGGUAAAAGUGCUACUAUUAAUUCAAUAUUUGAUGAAAUCAAGUUUGGCACUGAUGCUUUCCAGACUGGUACCAAUAAGGUUCAGGAUGUUGUGGGUACUGUGCAUGGUAUUAAGGUUCGUGUAAUUGACACACCAGGCCUUCUUCCUUCCUGGUCUGACCAAUGCCAGAAUGAGAAGAUCCUUCACUCUGUUAAGCGUUUCAUCAAGAAAACACCUCCAGAUAUUGUGUUGUACCUCGAUAGGUUGGACAUGCAAACGAGGGAUUUUGGUGAUAUGCCCCUUUUGCGUACCAUAACUGAUAUCUUUGGUCCAUCUAUAUGGUUUAAUGCAAUUGUGGUUUUGACUCAUGCAGCUUCUGCUCCACCAGAUGGUCCAAAUGGUACUGCUUCUAGUUAUGACAUGUUUGUCACUCAGCGUUCUCAUGUUGUACAGCAGGCUAUUCGUCAGGCAGCUGGGGAUAUGCGACUCAUGAAUCCUGUUUCGUUAGUGGAGAAUCACUCUGCAUGUAGAACAAAUAGGGCAGGCCAGAGAGUAUUGCCAAAUGGUCAGGUCUGGAAGCCUCAUUUGUUGUUGCUUUCCUUUGCAUCUAAAAUUCUGGCGGAGGCAAACACACUUUUGAAGUUGCAAGAUACUCCUCCAGGGAAGCCUUUUGCAACUCGAACAAGAGCACCUCCUUUACCUUUCCUUCUUUCAUCUCUUCUUCAAUCAAGACCGCAAGUUAAGCUUCCUGAAGAGCAGUAUGGCGAUGAGGAUGGAUUAGAUGAUGAUUUGGAUGAAUCCUCAGACUCUGAGGAUGAACCAGAAUAUGAUGAGCUGCCACCUUUCAAGCGGUUGAGUAAAGCACAAAUAGCAAAGCUUAGUAAAGCUCAGAAGAAAGCAUAUUUUGACGAGUUGGAAUAUAGGGAAAAGCUUUUUAUGAAGAAACAACUGAAGGAAGAGAAAAAGCGGCGAAAGAUGAUGAAGAAAAUGGCUGCUGCAGCCAAGGAUCUGCCAAGUGAGUACGGUGAAAAUGCAGAAGAAGAAAGUAGUGGUGCUUCUUCUGUUCCAGUUCCCAUGCCAGAUUUGGUGUUGCCUGCUUCUUUUGAUUCUGAUAAUCCAACUCAUCGCUAUCGUUCCCUUGAUUCCUCCAACCCAUGGCUUGUUAGGCCUGUUCUAGAUACACAUGGUUGGGAUCAUGAUGUUGGUUACGAAGGUAUUAAUGUCGAAAGACUGUUUGUUGCAAAAGAGAAAUUUCCUAUUUCAUUUUCUGGCCAGAUUACAAAGGACAAAAGGGAUGCCAAUGUCCAAAUGGAACUAGCCAGUUCUUUAAAGCAUGGGGAAGGUAAAGCAACUUCAGUGGGUUUUGAUAUGCAGACUGUUGGAAAGGACUUAGCCUAUACACUGCGCAGCGAGACCAGGUUUAGUAAUCUGAAGAAGAAUAAGGCAACAGCUGGCAUCUCAGUUACACUCUUAGGUGAUGCACUAUCAGCUGGAAUGAAAUUUGAAGACAAACUGAUUGCUAAUAAGCAGUUCCAGGUAGUCAUGACUGGGGGUGCUAUGACAGGACGCGGCGAUCUUGCUUAUGGGGGCAGCUUGGAAGCACAAUUGAGGGAUAAAGAUUACCCUCUGGGUCGCUCCUUAUCUACACUUGGUCUAUCUAUCAUGGAUUGGCAUGGAGAUCUCGCCAUUGGAUGCAAUAUACAAUCACAGGUACCUGUUGGACGGUCUACAAAUCUAAUAGCUCGUGCCAAUCUGAAUAACAAAGGCGCAGGACAAGUCAGUUUACGAAUAAAUAGCUCUGAGCAGCUUCAGCUUGCUUUGACUUCUCUCUUUCCAUUACUGAAAAAACUAUUUGACUAUUUCCAUCAAGUUCAGUAUGGACAAUGAUGAAAAUUAGGUUGGCUACGGAAAUGACAUUUUUAAAAAUGGCCAUAUCUCUGUGGUCUUUCAAGAGGGCCAGAAUUAGAAAUGUAGAGGCACAUGAUAAAAGAUCACUUGCACGGGGUUAAUUUGCAGGUGACAUUGCCUGUGAAUUAGCUUUUAUGGAGCGUAAAGCAGCGAUGAGGACGCCCCUAGUGGAACCCAUCCCCUAUUCAUGUGUAACAGCUGCAAUUGAAUUGUAAGGGAGUUGAGAAGGGCAGUCGUGGCUUUCCUCAGGAGAGUUUUAUAGGGGUCUCCUCUCCCUCGAAGGUCUCCUCAAAGGGUCAUGUCAGUCCCAUUUCGAUUGGCGGCCAGUGGCCCAUGAAAAAGAGCAACCUUUGACUCAGGGUUCAGUACUCUCCCGUAUUAUUUGUACUCUGGCAUUGCCCAGUAUUCGGAAAAUAUAGUCACAACAGUGUCGUUGAUAACUUGGGAAUAUAAUAACUUCUGCUGUA